RNAcentral lists this ribosomal RNA (426 nucleotides) under uncultured eukaryote. RNAcentral describes it as "bacterial SSU rRNA". It matches the Rfam family "Eukaryotic small subunit ribosomal RNA", at positions 592 to 1017 of the family's 1831-position model. The record is from RNAcentral.
CAAUAGCGUAUACUAACGUUGUUGCAGUUAAAAGCUCGUAGUUGGAUUUCUGUUGUGGGAUGCCGGCCGGGUUCUCUGAACUUGUAGCUAGGUUAUCUUGCAGCAUCUUGGCGCAAAUCUCACUGGCAUUCAUUUGUUGGUGUUGACGACCGCCUCGUUUACUUUGAGAAAAUUAGAGUGUUCAAAGCAGGCUAUAGCUUUUGAAUAUAUUAGCAUGGAAUAAUAUUAUAGGACUUUGCGUUCUAUUUUGUUGGUUGUUCGAGGACGCAAGUAAUGAUUGAUAGGGACAGUUGGGGCAGUCAGUAUUCUGAAGCGAGAGGUGAAAUUCUUGGACCUUCGGAAGACUAACAACUGCGAAAGCACUUGCCAAGAGUGUUUUCAUUAAUCAAGAACGAAAGUUAGAGGAUCGAAGAUGAUUAGAUACCA